This 253-nucleotide ribosomal RNA is filed under the name uncultured bacterium. RNAcentral describes it as "partial 16S ribosomal RNA". It matches the Rfam family "Bacterial small subunit ribosomal RNA", at positions 524 to 776 of the family's 1533-position model. The record is from RNAcentral.
UACAGAGGUCUCAAGCGUUGUUCGGAUUCAUUGGGCGUAAAGGGUGCGUAGGUGGCGCGUUAAGUCAGGUGUGAAAUUUCGGAGCUUAACUCCGAAACUGCAUUUGAUACUGGCGUGCUCGAGGACUGGAGAGGAGACUGGAAUUCAUGGUGUAGCAGUGAAAUGCGUAGAGAUCAUGAGGAAGACCAGUGGCGAAGGCGGGUCUCUGGACAGUUCCUGACACUGAGGCACGAAGGCCAGGGGAGCAAACGGG